UUGAGUAAAACGGUCACGAAAUUACCGUAACAGUAAUAUGUGUGCUAAACAAUGAAUAGCUGCGGUCUUCACUGGAUUUCUGAAGUGCUGUUGGCUUGAUAACAUCUUUUUUUCUUCUUUUACAUCUAGUGUCAGUUUCAAAAUAGGUUGUCAUUUGUAAAUGGUAAUAGCAAUAUUUAAUAUUUUGUUUUUAUCCGUUUUGUUGAUGAAUGUUCAAUGUUAUAACAGCAACCAAUAAUUAUGUGGCAACAUAUACAAAAUCAAGCUAAUUUUUUGUUAUGGGAAUACAUUUAAUUUUCUUUAGGUGCACUUGUAAUAACUGUGAAAAAAUGCCAACAGAAGUAGAAAACAUCUGCUGCAAAGAAACACAGAAGGUUGUCCAGCGUAUGAUGCAGGUUCCAGACCCUCCUACUUGCAUGGUGCAGCAUCCUGGUUUUGAACCCAAUUGUUUAAACAUGUACACAUUACAGAAUAUAAAUAAUAUAUACAGGGCAGACUAUGGACCGUUGAGACACAGAAAUGUUGAAGAGCGUUUCCGUUAUCUGUCAUAUCGCAGCUUUGUUAGCUGGUGCUGGGGCUGGCUAGGACGUGAAGUGAGGGUUGUCA
Danio rerio (zebrafish) is the source of this 606-nucleotide non-coding RNA. The record is from RefSeq and is a predicted model, not a curated record. Lineage: Eukaryota; Metazoa; Chordata; Actinopteri; Cypriniformes; Danionidae.